ACGGUGCUGCCAGAAUGGUCUAUACAAGCGCAUAUUUCAGUGGCUGAAAAUGAGUGACGCUCAUUUUUCACCACCAGUUUGAACGGCUCCUUGAAACAAUGGAGGCGAAUGUAGACAUUGGUCGAGGUUUUUGUGGAGGCAUUUCUAAUAUAAUCCCGGUGUAGGAAAAGUUGGAGGAAUUCAGAGAGGAACUUAAUGCACUGAGACCAUUAAUGCAUCUAGGUUCAGAAUGGCAGAAAGUUUGGAUUGACAUGAGGGGAAAGGUAAAGAAAACACUAGCACACAACAAGCGAGAAUUUAGAGCAACAGGUGGUGGCCCCAAUACAAUAAAGCUAUCGACGCUAAAAGAGAAUUACAUGUUGCAUUACAUGAAUAACAAAAAUUGUUUUGCUAAAAAAAGUGAAAUUCGUGCAUGACUCUUUCCGGAAUUUCAUAGAUUUUCUAAUAAUUAUAUUUUUUGUACAGUAAAUUGUUCCACGCUGUCGUUUUUAUAACACAUGAAUGCGUGCCUUACACCUAUUAAGCUUUAUUCUUUGAGGGAAUAUCAGUUUACUCCAAAACAACCAUAUUAACACUUUUGGAAAUACAUUUUCAUAGCAGAUGCCCCAAAAAAAGAUUUGGCUUCCUUUUUAUAGUGCUUCAUGAAACAUUUCAAACUUGUUUCAAAAUAUUUCAUCACAACCGCUGACAUUCGCUUGCCAACGAAUCGAGCAGUUUUCCUCGAUUUCUAUAAUUCCCCAGAUUCCUAUAUUUUCGAGCAGUUAUGGACACCAUGUUGGCCGAGCGACGAAAAGUGCUCCAAAAGUGCUGGAAUAUUACCUCACCUUGCCUCCCGCAGGCAACAAUGUCUAUAGUUUCAGCUAUAAUUCUACAAGAUAACUUGAACAGAGCGAUCACUGUAGCUUUGCUUUCUCUCUUUCUCGCUAAGCUGUCAUUUAAAACACGAAAGCGAGUGCUACAUUUAAAAACAAAACAUUGAAGCAGUGGUUGAAUGGUUACAACAGUAAAAGCUGUUGCGGCACAAAUUUCAUGCACCAAACCCGUCCUGGAGAACAUGCAGCUGGAACACCACCCAGCAAACAUUAAGUCGUAUGAAUAGCUAUAAUUGGAGGCGAUAUACAUACAACCAAGACACAUUUGUAUGAUAUAUGAUGCAGAUAACUAGCAUAUACACACAAAAGUGGAGGCGAUAUACGUAUAUGCCAUAUUUUGUACGCAUAUAAAGCCGUAUAUAACGAUAUGCGAUGCUUUUUGGACUGAUAUGCGAUUUGAUACGACAACGUUACCACUCAAUCCAUCGAUGACAUGGAAAAUCGUGUUUUUGCAUUUUAUGCGAUUUUAGAUAUAUAUGAUCGAUAUUUUGAUUGAUAUUUUAUGCGAUUGUGAUUUGAUACGAAAUUAUAUGUAACUUAUCAUGUGCAAAGUUAUACGAUUAAAUGUUUGCUGGGCACCCAGCAAACAUUAAAUCGUAUAAUUUUGCACGUGCCAAGUCUUACAAGAAAUCCGAAUAAAUCAUAAUCGCAUAUAAUAUCAAUCAAAGUAUGUAUCGUGUAUAUUUGAAAUCGCAUAAAAUGUGAAAAGUCGAUUUUAUGUACCAUUAUCAAAUUAGGUCGCAAUUAGGUAUAAUAAACAUCAAUUUUAUGAUGUACAUUGUCGUAAAAUAUAUUUAAUCCGCAUCAUAUGCGUAUAUUACGCUGAUGCAAUUUGUGUGUCGUAUAAGCGUAUAAUUUAAAUUGAUUCAGUACUGUAGUGAAUCGUGUUGCAUGUUGAAGAAAAUCAUGAAACAGUGAAUCAUAUUAGAUCCUAAUAAAGAACAUAUUACAUCAUAUUGAAAUGUCAAUGAAAUGCUGAUGCACUCGAAAGUUUUAACCGCUGUUGAAUUAAAUUUCAGAUAGCUGCGCGAGAUAGCUGGUGGAUGAUAAUCCAGACGACCGGAGUUCGAACCCACAUCGGAGCAGUUUUCACCAAACAUCAAUCUGUGCCAUUUUAAACAUUCAUAUUCCACUCCCAACACAAGUCAAUCAAACAAUUAUUAUUUCUGCAAACAUAGAUACUCAUAUAUAAAAAUGGCGAUUCGUGAGGCUAUAAUAAACAUUUCACGAAAAUAUUUUGCGCCAUUUGUUUUUUUUUCUAUGUCUGUAAUAAAUCGUAUAUGAGUAUGGCAAAAGUAGCUAUUAUAGCCGGUCAAAGUUGCAUAUUCAUCCAAACAAAUUAGGUAAGCAUUUGCCAUGUAUGUAUAUGGCCUCCACUUUUGCAUGUUAUAAAUGCGCAAGUAUACAAAGUUUGAAUUGUGACGUCACAAAUACAAUAGUCGACACAAAUACAAUAGUCGACACAAAUACAAUAGUCGACUCAAAUACACAGAAAAGUACAUGUAUAGUAAUUAGUUAGAUUUAUAAAAACUACAUGCAAUUCGAAUUAAAAAUGAACAUCACUACAAGUGUAAUACACGUAUAGUAAACAGUAAAUCGUUUAACCUACAUGAAGGUUCUUUUGUACACAUAUUUCUCUUUGUAAUUGGUUUGUCGUUUUCCCGAACUCAAAAGGAGUUGUCAGGCCUCGCCCGCUCUAGUUUGGUAGAAAGCGUGUGCCAUCGUCAGCCUUUGAGGAAGUUGAAAAACGGCUGAGGGCUCGGUCCCUUGUUGCGUGUGUAUAACACUUUUAUGAAAUUAAACCCGAACUCCCGAUUAACAGCUUGAUGCUGCCGGAGAGUGCUGGGGGAACGACCCUGUGGUGAGAACGUCGUGCGGUUUGAGCUAGACACUCACGAGUAACGGACAGGAAGUUACAUACCAGAGUUGAAUGA
Long non-coding RNA from Toxorhynchites rutilus septentrionalis, 2806 nucleotides. RefSeq lists it as uncharacterized. NCBI's taxonomy places the organism in Eukaryota, Metazoa, Arthropoda, Insecta, Diptera, Culicidae. The record is from RefSeq and is a predicted model, not a curated record. The transcript is spliced from 4 exons.